GCCCCCUUUCGUGAUUUUAUUGGCGGAUUGCAAAGGAACUGAAGAAGUUGAUACUGCCAUCUACUGUAAUGGAGUGUGUACGGUAACGCGGCAACAACAAUGCGGAAGAGGGUCACAGAGAACCUGUAGCCUAUCCCAGGGAGCAACAGGCACAAGGCGGGGUACACCCAGGACAGGGUACCAGUCCAUUGUAGGGCACAAUCACAUACACAUUCACACACCCAUUCAUACACUACGGACACUUUGGACAUGCCAAUCAGCCUACCAUGCAUGUCUUUGGACUGGGGGAGGAAACCAGAAUACCCGGAGGAAACCCCCGCAGCACGGGGAGAACAUGCAAACCCUGCACACACACGGCCACAGUGGGAAUCAAACCCCCGACCCUGGAGGUGUGAGACUGAAGUUCCUCGUGGAUCUAUGGUGGAGUGGUGUGUAAGUCUGCUGACAUUAUCUGGCUUUUACUACUCAAGACGUGCUCAGUAAUUUUGAAGUGUUUUUUAUUGUACACACAAUAACAUGCUCCUGGAUGGUCUGGAGGAUGUAUCUGAU
Long non-coding RNA from Ictalurus furcatus (blue catfish), 549 nucleotides. RefSeq lists it as uncharacterized. The transcript has 3 exons. NCBI's taxonomy places the organism in Eukaryota, Metazoa, Chordata, Actinopteri, Siluriformes, Ictaluridae. The record is from RefSeq and is a predicted model, not a curated record.